CAGUAGCCGCGGGAAUACGAAGGGGGCUAGCGUUGCUCGGAUUUACUGGGCGUAAAGCGCACGUAGGCGGACUUUUAAGUCAGGGGUGAAAUCCCGGGGCUCAACCCCGGAACUGCCUUUGAUACUGGAAGUCUUGAGUAUGGUAGAGGUGAGUGGAAUUCCGAGUGUAGAGGUGAAAUGCGUAGAGAUGUGGAGGAACACCAGUGGCGAAGGCGACUCUCUGGUCUGUAACUGACGCUGAGGAGCGAAAGCGUGGGGAGCGAACAGGAUUAGAUACCCCGGUAGUCCCUGUCUCUUAUAC
This 301-nucleotide ribosomal RNA is filed under the name uncultured bacterium. RNAcentral describes it as "partial 16S ribosomal RNA". It matches the Rfam family "Bacterial small subunit ribosomal RNA", at positions 509 to 807 of the family's 1533-position model. The record is from RNAcentral.